Molecule: long non-coding RNA, 931 nt
Organism: Glycine soja
Lineage: Eukaryota; Viridiplantae; Streptophyta; Magnoliopsida; Fabales; Fabaceae
Exons: 3
Source: RefSeq, a predicted model, not a curated record
UUUCUGUUCUUCUUAUAUGAUUUAGGUAUCUUGGACCUGAUCCUGAGCUUUCCAGGCUAUCAUCGAUGGAAAUUCACUGAUGUGCUUAGAAAUAUUCUUAAAGUCUUUGUCAGUCUUUUUUAGGGUUAUCAUUCUUCCACUCUUCUACGUUCAUUCCUUCAAGGGUGCACCUCAGGGUCUGAAGCAGUUGCUUUUCUUUUUCAAACAAAUAAGAGGCAUUCCAGCAUUUUACAUGCUGGCAGUUGCAUUAUAUUUGCUUCCGAAUUUACUAGCAGCUGUUCUGUUUCUUUUCCCAAUGUUAAGGCGUUGGAUUGAAAACUCAAACUGGCACAUAGUCAGAUUCUUCUUCUUAUGGUUGUCUCAGAUCCGCAUGGAUACUCCCAAUGGAAUCAAGGACUCAAUUCCUGCUUGGAUUAAGUUUUAUGUACAGGCUCCUGGUGAAAAUUACAUACAGCUGAAUAUACUAUGAUCCCCCCAGAAGAGUCAUUCAGAAGUCAUAAAAGUUGAUAUUAGCUGGGAAGCAUUGAUCAAACUAGUGCAGUGGUUUUAUUCUGAUGAUCUGCCUAAUCCUCCUUCUGGAUGCUUGUGGGAUAAUAAGGAUGAUGAAGAAAAGCUAUUCAAUCUACAACCAUGUGUGGAGCUUUGUUGGCUUGCUGAGUUCUGGAUUUUGGAAAAUAUUCAGGAAGCCUGCUGGAAUGUGAUUAUGUCUUGUCUUGAUAAUGAACAGUUUUUUAUUGUAUGCAUUUUUAUUCAAAUUCAUACUAUAAAAUUUGGAUGCUAUUAUCGCUUUGAGAAUUAAGGGUUUUGAUGCUAUUAUUGCUUGAAUUUUAUCCCAAUUAAAUUCAUACUAAAAAGUUGGGAUGACGGUUUUGACACAAUUCUUGUAUGAAUUUGAUUCAUACUAUAAAAUCGAGAUGACAUGCUUUGAGAA